ACCUUUCUUUCUCUCUCCGCGUCGAUUGGCGGAGCAGCUAGCAUGGGCCGGAUCAUCAGACAAAUACCCGUCCGGAACGUUGCCUGAAUCGCGGACAUGAUCCGAUAAGGGAGAGUCGGGAUUGGGUGAAGCAGCGGCUGAUGAUGACGAAUGGUAGUGCGCCGACAAGUUACCCAUACUGGCACUCUUCUUGAUAAUGGAGCCAUCGGUGAGCCUCACACCGAAGAGCCUGACUCCGGCGGCAGAAGAGGCCGACGUAGAUGACGCGCCAGAUGAGCGCGUCGGACAGGUACGGGAGUUGUGGCCGUUGUUGCUGCAAUGCGAGCAUCGUCGAGUCAUGGGG
This 343-nucleotide unclassified non-coding RNA is filed under the name Hevea brasiliensis (rubber tree). Lineage: Eukaryota; Viridiplantae; Streptophyta; Magnoliopsida; Malpighiales; Euphorbiaceae. The record is from RNAcentral.